UCCAUCUCUGUUUUGUCUUUCAAUGAUAUCUAUCUAUCUAUCUAUCUAUCUAUCUAUCUAUCUAUCUAUCCACCUGUCUGUCUGUCUGUAUUGAUCUAGGGAAGAGGAAGAGCUUGGGAUCUGCCUUUGUUUGCUCCCAUAUAAAAAUGGGAACUGUGGUUUUCUGGAUUCUUCUUUCAGUGCUUUUCUGCAUUUAGAUUUGUGCACAACGAGCAUCUGGCACUUGUACACUUUUUACAAGCUCUUAGACCCCCCAGCUCCUGGGUGCAGGGCUGUCAGGCACCUCGGCAGGACUGAGAGUGGGAACACAGUCAUCCUCCCGGUGCAGCCAUGAGGGCAGCCAUGGCCACUUAACCCCUGGGGCUUUUUGUGUCCACUGAUGAGGGCAGAUGCCACUCCUUGGCAAGCAGCUCACCCAGCUCAUGCUCUCUCCGUACACAGGCUUAGGGUCCUGGGUCAGAAAGUAGCCUCUCAGUUCCCCCUCCUCCCUGCCAGAGAUGGUUGAAGGUGGGGAGGAAUGGGGUCUUUUGGGGAGAGCUUGUGGAAUGAGAAGAGGAUGAAGCUGACAUGGUCAGGGACUUGCCAUGUGGCAGGGGGAGGAAGGAGGAGUAAUGGGGGGCAGGUGGAGAGGGGAUAAAGGAAGAGGAUGCCUCCUGCAGCCACGCUGGGAGCUGACCCUCUCCACCCAUGCUUCGUGCACUCAGGCGCUCAUCCAGGGAUCAUCCUGUACCUCAGACUCCGCCAAGAACUGUCCAGCCCCAGGGCCUUUGCAAGCGCUGGUUGCACUGCCUGGGAUGCCCUCUCCCAGCUCACCACAUGGCUGGCUCUUUCCCAUUCAUUGGCCUCAGCCCAGUGGCCUCCUUCUCGUCAGAGAGGCCGCCCCUGCCUGCCCUGGCUGGCCGGCUCCUCCCCUACAAUGACUCUAUGACAUCAUCAUGUCCCUUCUCCUCGGAGUCCUCAGACCCUCCGAAAUCCUCUGGUCUGUGUUUUGUUUCCUCUGUCUCUAUCUCUCUCCCCACUAGAAGGCAGGCCCCAGGAGGGCAAGGACCCGGCCUGUCCAGCUCCCAGCCAUAGCCCCAGGGCGGGACUGCAGUAGAUGCUCAACAAGGCUUCUUUCCUCCCACCAGCCUCUCCUUCCCGCAGGGGCGACAGGACUUGGGGGUGUUGUUGGGGUCUAAACGACCCAAAGGAAAGAGACGCUGAAGUGGGUGAGCUGGCCUCGCACUGCACUUCCUGCUGGAGUUCAAAGUCAGCCCUGCCCCUGGAACUGCCAUGGCCAGUUUAGAUUGUUCCAGAAUCCCGCUGCAGGCUGUUCAAAAGGCUCCCAGCUGCUAUCAGGAAAUAGCUCAGGAAGGUCUCCGUUAAACACUAAGAAACUGAGAUGCAAUCAGCUGGCCUGGAAUUCAGGAAAGUGCUGGUUCUGAAAUUGAGGACAGAAAGGACAUGUCUCGGGGCGAGAAGAUGUGAACCUGCCAACCAGCCUGUGUUCUUCUUCCACCUGUCCUGCCACGUGUUCUGCCACGUCCAUGCCUCCUGUCCCGCCAACACCCCAGGAGUUGGCAGAUUGGGACCCUACUCCGUGGGGAAGGGAACGCUCAGUGACUGCUGCCCCCUGCUCGCUGGCGUCCACCCGUAAUCUCUCAGUUGUGGUCUCAAAGGCCAAACAUGAACCAGGAUUUUCCAUUAUGGUUGCAAUUUUGGCUUGUAAUUUUAUCACUCGAAUCUAAAUCCACUUCAGAAAUGCCAUAAACUAAUUGUCACUGAAUAAACUGAAACUUUUGAGGAGUUUAUAAAAGUGAUUUAGUGGGAGAAAAAAAGGAAAAUAGAAAACAAAUGUUGCCCACAGAAUUGUUGGCAAAAAGGUAAAAACUCUCUGUUUCUUUUGAAAGCAUUCCCUCGUCUGGGAGCAAUCCCUGCCCAUCGUGGCUUUGGGGCCCAGUCCCUGAGAUUGUGUUUGUCUUGGAGCUGGUGGGCUUGAUUUCACGUUUGUCCCUGGGAAGCUGAUUGAGGCAGCGUCGGCAGUGAGGGCAGGGGUAGGUUGCGUAGAAAGUAAAUGGCCGCAGAUCAGAUCCAAUCCUUAUCCCACAGAAUGAACCUUGUUUCCUUGAUUAAAAAUAAUAAUAAUAACAAAAUGAAUGUUGGGGUUAAGUAAAUGUGAGUUAAUUACUAAGUUGUGACCACGUUCACAGUUUCUGAGGCUAAACACUUCAACGCUCCUUGUCAGUUUAUGUUAGGCAAUAAUUUGAAUGACUACUGGUUAGCUGUUUCACUUCAUUCAUAUUAAGAAACAAUAUACAAAGGGUAUAAAGUGAUCAGCUCUGUUUACGCUGAGGAGGAGGGUUAUAAAAUCAGCUAACAGGGAGCAGGGCAGAGGGGAGAGUGCUCAGGGUUUUUGAUGUGCUUCUGAUGAUCGUUUACGAAGGAAAAUCUUUGGAGAAACUUUUAAAUGUAGACACUCUGGGAACAGUGAAAUGAUGCAAAGCCCUCAACGGCAUUUUCAGCAUGGACCAGGGAGAGAGGAGAGAGUUUCCCUGGAACACACAGCUUGUCGAUAAGAAAGAGCCUACAAAAUACUCCAGGUCAAAAGGAGCGAGAUCCAGGAUCAGUUGAACUCCUGCAAGACCUGCCAGUGCCGAAUUACAGCAAUCUUGGUGCCUGCUGAGGUGGGAGUCAGGGAGGCUGUGGAAUUCUGAGCUUCCUGGUUGGCUGAGGAGAGAGGGCUCAGGGGAGAGGUCUUCCUCCCACCACUGCCUUAGAGAAACCCCAAAACCUCAUAGCUUCGAACCCCAGAAUUCUCUGGUCUUCUGCAAAAAUGCAGACAUGCUGGUGUCAGGAAUCAGCCUGGAGUCCCAGGAGCAGCAUCUCACAUCUUUACGGCAACACAAAACAAAGCAACACAAAAACAACAAAUGCAAAGAUAUCUUCUUGAGGAGAGGCCUCAACUGAAUGAGCAGGGAGGGGCGUGUUCCUUAAACCAGUGGUUCUCAAAAGGUGGUAUCUGGACCAGCAGCAGCAGCAGUGCCACCUGGGUGCAGACCAGAGGAUUCCAGAGCCCUGAGGGCUCCUAGAAGGAACACAGUGACAUCACAGAGUCAUUGUGGGGGAGGGGUUGGGCCAGCCAGGGCAGGCAGGGACAGCCCCUCUGAUGAGGAGGCCACUGGGCUGAGACCAAUGAAUGAGAUGGAGCCAGCCACGUGGUGAGCCAGAAGAGGGCAUCACAGGUCCAUGAAAUGGGCUCCCGAAGUCCAACCUCACAGACCCCAUAGGAAAGCAGAUGGAAUCUCCAAGGGCACCAGCUAUACAUGGUGGUGGAAGGACCAACGCAUGCUCUGAAUGCCACUGCGGACCACAGGCCAGUGCCCUCCAUGAGCCUGACCUCAGGCCUCAGGCUUGAGUCUGGGGGAGCCUGGCUGCCCAGAGGUGGCAGAUGACAUGAAGAAAUAACCAUGUAAGGGCUGGCUGUGUAUGAGAGCAAGCAUUGGGAAGGAUGAAUGCCAACUAUGUUCCAGGAACUUCCACUGUUCUCACACACCCAGGUGAGUGGUGUUCAGGUGGGUGGCACCCAGGUGAGUGACAUCCCAGUUGAGUGGCACCCAGGUGAGUAGCAUCCAGGUGAGUGACACCUAGGUGAGUGACAUUCAGGUUAGUGGCGUCUGUGUGAGUGGCAUCAUCCAGGUGAGUAGCUUCCAGGUGAGUGGCACCCAGGUGAGUGGCAUUCGGGUGAGUGGCAUUAUCCAGGUGACACCUGGGUGAGUGGCAUCCAGGUGAGUGAUAUCAUCCAGGUAAGUGGCACCUAGGUGACAUCCAGGUGAGUGACGACAUCCAGGUGAGUGACAUCAUCCAGGUAAAUGGCACCCAGGUGAGUAGCAUUCAGGUGAGUGACACCCAGGCGAGUGGCAUCCACGUGACUAGCAUUGUCCAGGUGCAUAACACCCAGGUGAGUGGCACCCAGUUGAGUGGUGCCCAAGUGAGUCACAUCCAGGUAAGUGGGGUCCAGGUGGUGGCACCCAGGCGAGUGGUGCCCAGGUGAGUGACAGCCAGGUGAAUGGUGUCCAGGUGAGUGGCAUCACCCAGGUGAAUGGUGUCCAGGUGAGUGGCAUCCAGGUAAGUGGUGUCCAGGUGGUGGCACCCAGGUGAGUGGUGUCCAGGUGAGGGGCAUCACCCAGGUGAAUGGUGUCCAGGUGAGUGGCAUCCAGGUGGGUGGUACCGUCGACGUGACAAUAGCUAAAAAUUAUUGGGCUCAUUGUGGACAGGCACUGUGCCGAGCUUGACAUCACUGAACUCAGUUCAUCCUCGCCAGGAGCUUGUGGGCCGUCCCUAGAUCAGAAUCCGAGGAGAAAGGACUUCCACACGGCAGCCAGCGAGCUGGAGGGCGGCCUCCUGCCACCACCAGGCUCCCUAACCCAGUCCUGGAUAUCUGUGAAAGAAUGAGUGGAUCCCCACAGGCCAGCCCUGACUUCCCACAGCUAUCCCCAAACACACUCGUUUACACUGAAGCACCAGGAGAUCAGAACCUUCUGGAAUCUUAAUAUGCGAGGACUCGGUGGAGAAGGCGGCACUGAAGAAGAGUCGUCCCUAGGCCAGGCUGGAGGGAAACUCAAGACGGCGGCCUGGCCCUCCUGGGUGGCGGAAGUGGGAGCAGCAGGAGCCCUGGCGGAUCCGGGAGGCCAGAAGAGCGGAAGCUUCCUCCCCUCUCAGGACAGCCACAAGGACUUUCGGGGGUCGUGGCAGCUGCUCCACUUCCAACUUCCAGAUCCCUCUCACUUUCCUCUUCCCACCAACUCCAACCUGGGACCAAGCAGGGGAAAGCAGCUGCAGCCCAGCUUGACGCCCCUGCAAAUGGAGACCUGUGCACCUGGUUGUGAGCAUUUUAAAGGGUGUCACACAGGGCAUACCCUUCGGUGCCUGGAUUCCUUUGAUGAAAGGGCAAAGCCUUGAACCUAAGUCAUCUUCGAGUCCUCAGCACUUCACCCAGAGCCUGGCACACAGUAGGAGCACAGAAAGGUUUACAUCCAGCAGGAGUUGGCCCUGAGCUCUGAGUCCAGAUCAUUGCUCUUGGCUGAAGCAGCCUGUCUACUCACAAAGAUGAGCAUGGUCCCUGCCACGAGGAAACUCGUGGUCCUGUGGACUGCGGUGUGGAGGGAAAGCUUGGGAUUCUGAGCCUGAUAAUGCACCAUUACAUCCCCACUCACUCGGGCUGUGUGAACCCAGCAAGUCACAGGAUCACUGGGUGGUGAAAGAAAGAAACACUCACAGAAGCGUCUGUGCUUGGAGAGCCAUCUGGUCCGUCAUUGUGACUGCUGCUCUCAUUGCUAUCAUGGGUGUCACCAUUGCCAUCACUCAAGGACUUCUCUCCAGGCCCCGAAGCCAAGCUGGUGCCUGGUUCCUCUGGGUUGGGAGAGGGGCUGGGCAUGGACAGGAGGAGGGAAAAGGGACCUGUGCUAGCAGGUGAUGCCAUCCAAGACAUCUGCAUCCUAAUCCCUGGAACCUGGGAUUCCACUAGGUGCCAUGGCAAAGAGGGAUUAAGGUGGCAGGUGGAGUGAAGGUUGCUAAUCAGCCGACCUUAAAGUAGGGAGAUGAUCCUGAAUGAGACAAAAGAGAGAACCAGUCAUGGUGUCAUGAGAAGGACUCAAAAUGCAACUGCUGACUUUGAAGAUUAAGGGGCUACAAACCAAGGAACGUGGUAGUCUCUGGAAAAGACAAGGAAUAGACGCUGCGUUGGGGCCACCAGAAGGAACCAGCCCUGUCAACACCCUAAUUUUAGCCCAGUGAGGCCUGUGCUGGACUUCUGACCUCCAGAACUGUAAACUAAUAAAUGUGUGUUGUUUCUGCCACUA
This 5837-nucleotide long non-coding RNA is filed under the name Homo sapiens (human). Its description in RNAcentral is "HSALNT0387574". The record is from RNAcentral. Lineage: Eukaryota; Metazoa; Chordata; Mammalia; Primates; Hominidae.